RNAcentral lists this unclassified non-coding RNA (329 nucleotides) under soil metagenome. Its description in RNAcentral is "partial contains 5.8S ribosomal RNA, internal transcribed spacer 2, and large subunit ribosomal RNA". The stretch from base 1 to 120 matches the Rfam family "5.8S ribosomal RNA", at positions 35 to 154 of the family's 154-position model. The record is from RNAcentral.
GAUGAAGAACUUAGCGAAAUGCGAUAAGUAAUGUGAAUUGCAGAAUUCAGUGAAUCAUCGAAUCUUUGAACGCACAUUGCGCCCCCUGGUAUUCCGGGGGGCAUGCCUGUCCGAGCGUCAUUACAACCCUCAAGCUCAGCUUGGUGUUGGGCCCCGCCGCCCCGGCGGGCCCUAAAGUCAGUGGCGGUGCCGUCCGGCUCCGAGCGUAGUAAUUCUUCUCGCUCUGGAGGUCCGGUCGUGUGCUCGCCAGCAACCCCCAAUUUUUUUCAGGUUGACCUCGGAUCAGGUAGGGAUACCCGCUGAACUUAAGCAUAUCAAUAAGCGGAGGA